Non-coding RNA from Dermacentor andersoni, 169 nucleotides. Lineage: Eukaryota; Metazoa; Arthropoda; Arachnida; Ixodida; Ixodidae. The record is from RefSeq and is a predicted model, not a curated record.
CCCUGGUCCGCCGUACCAGCCGCCAGCACCUUCGCCGAGGCCCCCACCUCGGCGCCCCUCGGGACGGCCUCCACCUGCGUACACGCCUCCACCUCCCUCGGCGAGACCACUACCACCUCCUCCUUCGCCGAGACCACCUCCAGGACCACCUCCUGUUACCCGACCUCCG